AGUUGUUGCUACAAGUCGGGGACCGCAAGGCCUGACACUUCCAGAUAAGCCCCGCGGCCUAUCAGCUAGUUGGCGGGGUAACGGCCCACCAAAGGCUAAGACGGGUAGCUGGUCUGAGAGGACGACCAGCCACACUGGAACUGAGACACGGUCCAGACACCUACGGGUGGCAGCAGUCGAGAAUUUUUCACAAUGGGGGAAACCCUGAUGGAGCGACGCCGCGUGGGGGAUGAAUGGCUUCGGCCCGUAAACCCCUGUCAUUUGCGAACAAACCUGGUGGUUGAACAGACUGCCAGCUGAUAGUAGCAGAAGAGGAAGGGACGGCUAACUCUGUGCCAGCAGCCGCGGUAAUACAGAGGUCCCAAGCGUUGUUCGGAUUCACUGGGCGUAAAGGGUGCGUAGGCGGUGGGGUAAGUUUGAGGUGAAAUCUCCGGGCUCAACCCGGACAAGCCUUGAAUACUAUCCUGCUAGAGGAUCGGAGG
This 482-nucleotide ribosomal RNA is filed under the name uncultured bacterium. Its description in RNAcentral is "bacterial SSU rRNA". It matches the Rfam family "Bacterial small subunit ribosomal RNA", at positions 192 to 655 of the family's 1533-position model. The record is from RNAcentral.